UACGGGGGGGGCAAGCGUUGUUCGGAAUUACUGGGCGUAAAGGGCUCGUAGGUGGCCAACUAAGUCAGACGUGAAAUCCCUCGGCUUAACCGGGGAACUGCGUCUGAUACUGGAUGGCUUGAGUUCGGGAGAGGGAUGCGGAAUUCCAGGUGUAGCAGUGAAAUGCGUAGAUAUGCGGAGGAACACCGAUGGCGAAGGCAAUCCCUGGGCCUGCACUGACGCUCAUGCACGAAAGCGUGGGAGCAAACAGG
Molecule: ribosomal RNA, 251 nt
Filed under: uncultured bacterium
Lineage: Bacteria
Description: partial 16S ribosomal RNA
Rfam family: Bacterial small subunit ribosomal RNA
Source: RNAcentral